AAGUCGAGCGAACAGACGAGGAGCUUGCUCCUCUGACGUUAGCGGCGGACGGGUGAGUAACACGUGGAUAACCUACCUAUAAGACUGGGAUAACUUCGGGAAACCGGAGCUAAUACCGGAUAAUAUAUUGAACCGCAUGGUUCAAUAGUGAAAGACGGUUUUGCUGUCACUUAUAGAUGGAUCCGCGCCGCAUUAGCUAGUUGGUAAGGUAACGGCUUACCAAGGCAACGAUGCGUAGCCGACCUGAGAGGGUGAUCGGCCACACUGGAACUGAGACACGGUCCAGACUCCUACGGGAGGCAGCAGUAGGGAAUCUUCCGCAAUGGGCGAAAGCCUGACGGAGCAACGCCGCGUGAGUGAUGAAGGUCUUCGGAUCGUAAAACUCUGUUAUUAGGGAAGAACAAAUGUGUAAGUAACUAUGCACGUCUUGACGGUACCUAAUCAGAAAGCCACGGCUAACUACGUGCCAGCAGCCGCGGUAAUACGUAGGUGGCAAGCGUUAUCCGGAAUUAUUGGGCGUAAAGCGCGCGUAGGCGGUUUUUUAAGUCUGAUGUGAAAGCCCACGGCUCAACCGUGGAGGGUCAUUGGAAACUGGAAAACUUGAGUGCAGAAGAGGAAAGUGGAAUUCCAUGUGUAGCGGUGAAAUGCGCAGAGAUAUGGAGGAACACCAGUGGCGAAAGCGACUUUCUGGUCUGUAACUGACGCUGAUGUGCGAAGCGUGGAGAUCAACAGGAUAGAUGACCCUGCUAGUCACGCGUAACGAUGA
This 766-nucleotide ribosomal RNA is filed under the name Staphylococcus epidermidis. Its description in RNAcentral is "bacterial SSU rRNA". It matches the Rfam family "Bacterial small subunit ribosomal RNA", at positions 59 to 812 of the family's 1533-position model. Lineage: Bacteria; Bacillati; Bacillota; Bacilli; Caryophanales; Staphylococcaceae. The record is from RNAcentral.